GGUGGCUCAGUGGCAGAGCACUUGCCUUGCAUGCAUGAGGCCCUGGGUUUGAUUCCUCAGCACCA
Non-coding RNA from Dipodomys ordii (Ord's kangaroo rat), 65 nucleotides. Lineage: Eukaryota; Metazoa; Chordata; Mammalia; Rodentia; Heteromyidae. The record is from Rfam.